AGAAGGGAAAUACAGACACUUUUUGCUUAUGGGCUGACUCUAUAUGGAGAGAUUUAAACACCCGACAUCUGCUUGGGAAGAUCUAUAAAGAGAUCUAUAUCACCCAAAGCAGGAGACAAUAAACAAAAGAUAUAUGGCAAAAGAAUGCACUAUGAAUAUCUGAAUGUUUUAUGAAUAUGCAUGAAUAUGUGUGGUUUAUGUUUGAUGAAUGCUGAC
This 216-nucleotide long non-coding RNA is filed under the name Lathyrus oleraceus (garden pea). RNAcentral's name for it is "Pisum sativum (pea) long non-coding RNA (PSAT_LNC040017)". Lineage: Eukaryota; Viridiplantae; Streptophyta; Magnoliopsida; Fabales; Fabaceae. The record is from RNAcentral.